Molecule: ribosomal RNA, 253 nt
Filed under: uncultured bacterium
Lineage: Bacteria
Description: partial 16S ribosomal RNA
Rfam family: Bacterial small subunit ribosomal RNA
Source: RNAcentral
UACGUAGGGGGCAAGCGUUGUCCGGAUUUAUUGGGCGUAAAGAGCGUGUAGGCGGCCAGACAGGUCUGCUGUGAAAACUCGAGGCUCAACCUCGAGACGCCGGUGGAAACCGUCUGGCUAGAGUCCGGAAGAGGAGAGUGGAAUUCCUGGUGUAGCGGUGAAAUGCGUAGAGAUCAGGAAGAACACCCGUGGCGAAGCGGCCCACUGGGCCGGUACUGACGCUGAGGCACGAAGGCGUGGGGGAGCGAACGGG